Molecule: long non-coding RNA, 350 nt
Filed under: Mytilus galloprovincialis (Mediterranean mussel)
Lineage: Eukaryota; Metazoa; Mollusca; Bivalvia; Mytilida; Mytilidae
Source: RNAcentral
CUUGGCAAAACUUUACAAACUAACUUAGAUUAUUUACGAAUUUCAAAGAGUUCACUACUCGGGGUUCUUGUUCACCCUGACAAACUCGCAAUGAAGUUACAUGCAUGCCUUAAGUUAUAACAGAAUUUAUCAUGCACACUUUAUAUUUUGUCUUAGAAUACAAUAUGAACAAUAUAUGAUUAAAAUAUAUUUUCAAAGUUAAUGAAUUUUUAUAUUAUUUAUUUUUCAUUAUAUACCCUUUUUUACCUGACUUUACCUGUAAGAUAAAUGCGCGCAAAAGUAAUCAAAGGCUGCGCGCAAACGUAAAACAUUGUAAUCCCCAAAUGCGCGCAAACGUACUGCGCCCGAAU